AGAGUUUGAUCAUGGCUCAGAUUGAACGCUAGCGGGAUGCCUUACACAUGCAAGUCGAACGGCAGCACGGACUUCGGUCUGGUGGCGAGUGGCGAACGGGUGAGUAAUGUAUCGGAACGUGCCUAGUAGCGGGGGAUAACUACGCGAAAGCGUAGCUAAUACCGCAUACGCCCUAUGGGGGAAAGCAGGGGAUCGUAAGACCUUGCACUAUUAGAGCGGCCGAUAUCGGAUUAGCUAGUUGGUGGGGUAACGGCUCACCAAGGCGACGAUCCGUAGCUGGUUUGAGAGGACGACCAGCCACACUGGGACUGAGACACGGCCCAGACUCCUACGGGAGGCAGCAGUGGGGAAUUUUGGACAAUGGGGGAAACCCUGAUCCAGCCAUCCCGCGUGUGCGAUGAAGGCCUUCGGGUUGUAAACCUCUUUCAGCAGGGAAGAAGCGCAAGUGACGGUACCUGCAGAAGAAGCACCGGCUAACUACGUGCCAGCAGCCGCGGUAAUACGUAGGGUGCAAGCGUUGUCCGGAAUUAUUGGGCGUAAAGAGCUCGUAGGCGGCUUGUCGCGUCGGUUGUGAAAGCCCGGGGCUUAACCCUGGGUCUGCAGUCGAUACGGGCAGGCUAGAGUUCGGCAGGGGAGACUGGAAUUCCUGGUGUAGCGGUGAAAUGCGCAGAUAUCAGGAGGAACACCGGUGGCGAAGGCGGGUCUCUGGGCCGAUACUGACGCUGAGGAGCGAAAGC
RNAcentral lists this ribosomal RNA (737 nucleotides) under uncultured bacterium. RNAcentral describes it as "bacterial SSU rRNA". It matches the Rfam family "Bacterial small subunit ribosomal RNA", at positions 8 to 760 of the family's 1533-position model. The record is from RNAcentral.